RNAcentral lists this ribosomal RNA (776 nucleotides) under uncultured bacterium. Its description in RNAcentral is "bacterial SSU rRNA". It matches the Rfam family "Bacterial small subunit ribosomal RNA", at positions 28 to 813 of the family's 1533-position model. The record is from RNAcentral.
GACGAACGCUGGCGGCGUGCCUAACACAUGCAAGUCGAGCGGAGACAGUGAGUAGCUUGCUAUGAGCUGUUUUAGCGGCGGACGGGUGAGUAACGCGUGAGCAACCUUUCCCAGACAGGGGAAUAACACACCGAAAGGUGUACUAAUACCGCAUAAGACCACGGGAUCACAUGGUUCUGGGGUAAAAGAAUUAUCGGUUUGGGGUGGGCUCGCGUCCGAUUAGGUAGUUGGUGAGGUAACGGCCCACCAAGCCGACGAUCGGUAGCCGACCUGAGAGGGUGAUCGGCUACAUUGGGACUGAGACACGGCCCAAACUCCUACGGGAGGCAGCAGUGGGGAAUAUUGGGCAAUGGAGGAAACUCUGACCCAGCAACGCCGCGUGGAGGAAGAAGGUUUUCGGAUCGUAAACUCCUGUCCUUGGAGACGAGUAGAAGACGGUAUCCAAGGAGGAAGCCCCGGCUAACUACGUGCCAGCAGCCGCGGUAAUACGUAGGGGGCAAGCGUUGUCCGGAAUAAUUGGGCGUAAAGGGCGCGUAGGCGGCUCGGUAAGUCUGGAGUGAAAGUCCUGCUUUUAAGGUGGGAAUUGCUUUGGAUACUGUCGGGCUUGAGUGCAGGAGAGGUUAGUGGAAUUCCCAGUGUAGCGGUGAAAUGCGUAGAGAUUGGGAGGAACACCAGUGGCGAAGGCGACUAACUGGACUGUAACUGACGCUGAGGCGCGAAAGUGUGGGGAGCAAACAGGAUUAGAUACCCUGGUAGUCCACACUGUAAACGAUGAA